Molecule: ribosomal RNA, 450 nt
Filed under: Podarcis peloponnesiacus (Peloponnese wall lizard)
Lineage: Eukaryota; Metazoa; Chordata; Lepidosauria; Squamata; Lacertidae
Description: partial large subunit ribosomal RNA
Source: RNAcentral
GGUAGCAUAAUCACUUGUCCCCUAAAUAGGGACUGGAAUGAAUGGCUUAAUGAGGACAAAACUGUCUCUUACGGACUAGCCAAUGAAAUUGAUCCUUCAGUACAAAAGCUGAAAUUAACCCAUAAGACGAGAAGACCCUGUGGAGCUUCAAAACCAAAACCACCAAACAUGCUUCCUGGUUUUUUAGUUGGGGCGACUUUGGAGCAAAAAAAACCCUCCAAAACAUAAAUCCAUUUAUUAAGACUAACACAUCAAAAAUAAUAUCAUARACCCAGCAGUACCUAUUUACUGCCUGACCAAUGAACCAAGUUACCCCAGGGAUAACAGCGCCAUCCUCUUCUAGAGUCCCUAUCGACAAGAGGGUUUACGACCUCGAUGUUGGAUCAGGGCACCCCUAUAGUGCAGCCGCUAUAAAAGGUUCGUUUGUUCAACGAUUAAAGUCCUACSUGA